This is a non-coding RNA of Aspergillus fumigatus Af293, 73 nucleotides long. The record is from the annotation of a RefSeq genome assembly. NCBI's taxonomy places the organism in Eukaryota, Fungi, Ascomycota, Eurotiomycetes, Eurotiales, Aspergillaceae.
GGGAUCUUGGCGAAGGAUGGAAUCGUCCUUGCUGCGGAGAAAAAGGUGACCAGCAAGCUGCUAGAGCAGGACA